RNAcentral lists this ribosomal RNA (468 nucleotides) under uncultured bacterium. RNAcentral's name for it is "partial 16S ribosomal RNA". It matches the Rfam family "Bacterial small subunit ribosomal RNA", at positions 28 to 507 of the family's 1533-position model. The record is from RNAcentral.
GACGAACGCUGGCGGCGUGCUUAACACAUGCAAGUCGAACGGAAAGGCCCUGCUUUUGUGGGGUGCUCGAGUGGCGAACGGGUGAGUAACACGUGAGUAACCUGCCCUUGACUUUGGGAUAACUUCAGGAAGCUGGGGCUAAUACCGGAUAGGAGCUCCUGCUGCAUGGUGGGGGUUGGAAAGUUUCGGCGGUUGGGGAUGGACUCGCGGCUUAUCAGCUUGUUGGUGGGGUAGUGGCUUACCAAGGCUUUGACGGGUAGCCGGCCUGAGAGGGUGACCGGCCACAUUGGGACUGAGAGACGGCCCAGACUCCUACGGGAGGCAGCAGUGGGGAAUAUUGCAGAGUGGGCGGAAGCCUGAUGCAGCAACGCCGCGUGCGGGAUGACGGGCUUCGGGGUGUGAACCGCUUUCGCCUGUGACGAAGAGUGAGUGACGGUAAUUGGUAAAGAAGCACCGGCUAACUACGUG